GUGCCAGCAGCCGCGGUAAUACGGAGGGUGCAAGCGUUAUCCGGAUUUACUGGGUUUAAAGGGUGCGUAGGCGGAUCUUUAAGUCAGUGGUGAAAUCUCUCGGCUCAACCGAGAAACUGCCAUUGAUACUAUUGAUCUUGAAUACAGUUGAGGUGGGCGGAAUGUGUCGUGUAGCGGUGAAAUGCUUAGAUAUGACACAGAACACCGAUUGCGAAGGCAGCUCGCUAAACUGUGAUUGACGCUGAGGCACGAAAGCGUGGGGAUCAAACAGGAUUAGAUACCCUGGUAGUCC
Molecule: ribosomal RNA, 292 nt
Filed under: uncultured bacterium
Lineage: Bacteria
Description: partial 16S ribosomal RNA
Rfam family: Bacterial small subunit ribosomal RNA
Source: RNAcentral